CCUACGGGAGGCAGCAGUGAGGAAUAUUGGUCAAUGGCCGGAAGGCUGAACCAGCCAUGCCGCGUGAAGGUCAGUGCCCUAUGGGCGUUAAACUUCUUUUGUGCGGGAGCAAUAAUGGUCACGUGUGGCCAGACGAGAGUACCGUACGAAUAAGCAUCGGCUAACUCCGUGCCAGCAGCCGCGGUAAUACGGGGGAUGCAAGCGUUAUCCGGAUUUAUUGGGUUUAAAGGGUGCGUAGGCUGUGAGGUAAGUCAGAGGUGAAAUGCCCCCGCUCAACGGGGUGAAGUGCCAUUGAUACUGCCUGGCUGGAAUGCGGAUGCCGUGGGAGGAAUGUGUGGUGUAGCGGUGAAAUGCAUAGAUAUCACACAGAACACCGAUUGCGAAGGCAUCUCACGAAUCCGCGAUUGACGCUGAUGCACGAAAGCGUGGGUAUCAAACAGGAUUAGAUACCCUAGUAGUC
This 460-nucleotide ribosomal RNA is filed under the name uncultured bacterium. RNAcentral describes it as "partial 16S ribosomal RNA". It matches the Rfam family "Bacterial small subunit ribosomal RNA", at positions 338 to 795 of the family's 1533-position model. The record is from RNAcentral.